CUUGGGAUGAAUUAUAUCCAUCUCUUCUGAGACUACCUCAUCAUCAAUCUUCCCAUUUUUUCUAUCAUCAUUUUAAUCAGUACCUGCUUGCCUCCGGCUCCUCUUCCUCUAUAGGCUUGCAUCCAGGCUCUGUGCAUUGCACGGUGAUCCUACCCGCAUGCUUAAGAGGAUCACUUCCUCUUUUUCCCAUCCCUCCUUCCAUCUAUCUGGGAUUCUCCAUCUGGGACUUUGAGCCAAUCACGGCCAAUCAUUCAGGUUUUUUUAGUCCACUUUUACAGACUACUGCCCCCCAUUGGUUCCUGACGAAGCCCCCUUGGGCGAAACUAGUAGAACCGUUACAUGUGGGAUGAAAUGAAGAUCACCUGCAUCUAUAUGCACUUGAAGUAUC
Rana temporaria (common frog) is the source of this 388-nucleotide long non-coding RNA. RefSeq lists it as uncharacterized. Lineage: Eukaryota; Metazoa; Chordata; Amphibia; Anura; Ranidae. The record is from RefSeq and is a predicted model, not a curated record. The transcript is spliced from 3 exons.